AUGGUCUGUCCAUUUGUACGUUCAAUCUCUUGACAACUUCAACUAAUGUUGAAUGCCAAAGUGUAAACGUUGAUCGUGUGACAAAUGUAAAUUGAUUCAUGAGGAGAGACUGUGGUUUGGUGCAAAGAAAGUGUUCUGGAAUUGGAAGAUCUGGAUCAGACUCAGGCUCUGUCAGAUAAUGGCUGUAUCAUCUUUGAAAAGCAAAACAAUCUACUAAUGAAAUCAGAAGGAUUUCCAGUGAUGCUGCCCACAUUUCUGUGAAAAAGAGGAAGUUUUUUAAGUCAGAUGGAAGUUACACUUUUUCAAAAAAAAAAAUAUGCAGGGAAGAAUAACUCUCUCUCAUCAAUGUGGAAAUUGAUGAUAAAAACUUGGAGAAGACUGCUGUAUUGGAUUACAGGUUCAUAUGUUCUAAGCAAGAGAGAAAAGCCUAAAAUCUAUUUCUCUGUCAUGAUACUGCUCGAAGGUGCUCAAAAAACAUUUGUUGAGUAAGUGAACCUGAGACUAUCAACAAGCAUUAUUUUAAAAUCACUAGCAAAGGGUCAGAUGAAAGUGAGAUCCAUACAUCCUUCUUCAGCAACUUGUGCCUCUGCUCUGCACCUCCCGCAAUUAACUACUGAAAAAAGAACACAGCUUCACAAAAGAGAUUGUAAAAUCAGGAAGUAUAUCUAAGUCACCUCCAGUAGCCGUAACUCUACCUUGUCCAGUAAAAGGUGAUGCAUUACAAAAGUUGACCCUUUAAAAGAAAAUUUGCUUGAUUUAACAUAUGAAGAUGCUCCUUUUUCUCUCUGAAGCAAGAGAAACAAUUGUCUCUCCCUUCUGCUCUUUAAUCUGUCAUCUGCACAUUUUUACUGCGAAUUAAGAAUAAACGUUUUAAAAA
This 877-nucleotide long non-coding RNA is filed under the name Homo sapiens (human). RNAcentral's name for it is "long intergenic non-protein coding RNA 1036". The record is from RNAcentral. Lineage: Eukaryota; Metazoa; Chordata; Mammalia; Primates; Hominidae.